Molecule: ribosomal RNA, 253 nt
Filed under: uncultured bacterium
Lineage: Bacteria
Description: partial 16S ribosomal RNA
Rfam family: Bacterial small subunit ribosomal RNA
Source: RNAcentral
UACGGGGGGGGCAAGCGUUGUUCGGAAUUACUGGGCGUAAAGGGCUCGUAGGCGGCCAACUAAGUCGGACGUGAAAUCCCUCGGCUUAACCGGGGAACUGCGUCCGAUACUGGUUGGCUUGAAUCCGGGAGAGGGAUGCGGAAUUCCAGGUGUAGCGGUGAAAUGCGUAGAUAUCAGGAGGAACACCGGUGGCGAAAGCGGCUUCCUGGCCCGACAUUGACGCUCAUGUACGAAAGCGUGGGGAGCAAACAGG